This is a long non-coding RNA of Physeter macrocephalus (sperm whale), 3932 nucleotides long. RefSeq lists it as uncharacterized. The transcript has 3 exons. The record is from RefSeq and is a predicted model, not a curated record. Lineage: Eukaryota; Metazoa; Chordata; Mammalia; Artiodactyla; Physeteridae.
UAAGUAGCCUUGCCUCCAAAAAUUAAACUGAAAUCUAAUCAAGUCUCUGUACCCAAUUACCAAUUUACAGGAAGUACACAGAUCAUGAAACAUGGCAUCAUGGCGAUACAAGCAGUAAAAUCCAGAGUCUGGGAAACUACAGGCCAAACAGUUAUUACGGAAUAUGGAGCAGAGUUCCCUGUGCUAUACAGUGAUGUGGUCCUACAUAUGGAAGGUGGGCUUCACCUAUCGGAAGGAAGCAGGAGACACAUUCAUUGAGCACUGUGGCAGGUACCUUCAUUUAACUUAUUCCAAAAAGCCAAGGUCAAUGUGGGCCUUUGAACAUAAUCACAAAAUGAGGAACUAGUUCCUCCACUUGUCCAUGAUCUACUCCCCACCUACAGGAACUACACACCAAAUAUUCCUGGAUCUUUAGAUCCUGAUAUCUCAGAGAAGUUAGACCACUCCCUCCUUGUUCAAAUGGGAAAACGGGGUUUGGAAAGGUGAGAAAAGUGAUGACUCAAGACCAAUACUCAGGCCACCUGGCCCCUGGCCUCCAGUAUAAAUUCAGGGCCUCCCUGAGAACAUGAAGCUGCCUGAAGUUAACCCACACUUGCAGUUCACUGUUACUUGCAGCUGAGAGCACCCUAAACUGUUAUGCUUCUCUUACCCCAGGUCUCUUCCCCACACACACCUCUAUUUCUGUGUUUUGGCCUUUCUCCAACCAUUUUUAUAAUCAGACAGCAUUAAAUGUAGGGGUGUGUGUGAAUUUUGAGUGAGGACAAAUCCCCCAGCAAAGAGACUUCCAUUAAAACAAAUUCAUACUUGUUUCCUUAUCUCUAUUCCAGAGGCAGAGAUGCCCAGCAGAAUGGUCUUCCUGAAUGGAUUUGCCUAGUUAUAAUAAAUCUGGGGGUCUCUGGGAACGGGAGAGCUCACUGCUUUGCCUGGAAACCAGUCACCUGGUCUUCUGCCCCAAUAACCACAUCAUCGAUUCCAUUGCUCACUCAUGAAUAAGCUUUGUGCUGAGUGAUUUUGGCCCCAUGGCCCUGAUCCCUUAAAUGAAUGUCCAGGAUAUGACAGCCCCCAAACACAUUAGUCUUCUUCUAGUUCUGGAUGGCAAAUAUUAUAUAAUGCUUAAGGCUGGACUUGUUCCUAAGCCCUUGAAGUCUUCAGGUUCCUUGAUACCAGGGACAAAACCAUUAAAAGUCCUUAUUAAUUUAAUUCUGCCAACAGACUAGCAACUCCCCAGACUGAUAACAAAGCCAGGCAAAGCAGCUGUCAGUUUGAGGGUGGCAUCUGUGGAGGCAAACUCCUGCUCUCCCUGGCUUCUUCUUGAUCCAGGCAGAGAACAUAAAAAUUUGUUGCAUCAGAAACCUGAUUGAGCCCCAGAUCAAGGCAAAAUGUCAAUGCUUACAUGAGCUCUGCACUUCCCAUCUCCUACCUUGGGCUAUAAUUAGCAGUCAGGGAAAUCAGCAGGAGGUAUGAGAGCAUGUCUUUAAAAUUGAAUGGAAAUCAAUGGGGAAAUGACUUGCUUUACCGAAAUCUGUUCCACAUGCAAAGUUCCAGGAAUAUUUUAAAAUAAGGUCUGUUACAGGUUAAAUGCAACAUCUAAAUAACCUUCAGAUUAUAUAGCCAAUGACAUUUCUAGAUGAUCUUUAAAGUGCUUCCCAUCAUAUCCCUUUCUAAAAGAUGUAGGAGAAGUAGGAAUAUUAAUAAAUUAGUUCAUACUUAUGAGUAUUUCUCACAGUCUUUCCAAUGCUCUUCAGUCCCUUAAUAAUCUACAUGUAAUUUUAAAACUUUUUAUUAUGGAAAUUUCAAACAGAUAUGUUAAUGAACCUUCAUGUACCCUUAACCCAAUUUAAAUAAGUAUCAAUUCACAGUCAGUCUCAUUUUCUCUGUACUCCAAUCCAUUUUCCCCAUGUUCUCCAGAUUAUCUUGAAACAAAUCUCAAGUAUAUCAUUUAUUUUAAAUAUUUCAGCAAGCUAUAACCAUUGUUCCGUCCAGUUCUCAAAAAGACUUUUUCUGGAUCACUCCUGAUUUUUAGUAGUCAAUAGUUGUUUAAAACUUUGAUACAGUUUCUAUAAAAAUAAACAUAUUUACUUAUAAAUUUCUUUACGCUGAUUUAGUUAGUUCAUCCAUUUGUUCAUUCAUCACACGUCAGAAACAUUUAUUGGGAAUUCCCUUGUGGUCCAGUGGUUAGGCUCCUUGGUUCCACUGCAGGGGGCACGGGUUCAAUCCCAGGUCAUGGAACUAAGAUCCUGUAUGCUGCACAGCCAGAAAAAAAAAAAAAAAAAGAAAAAGAAAAAGGUUAUUAAGUACUUUAGUAUGUACUGGACCUACUUGGAAUUCUGGGAAUACAGCUAUGAACAAAGUAGACAAGAACCCCUGAUAUUAUAUUUUGGUAGGGAGAGGAAAAUAGUAAACAAAUUAGAAAAUUCAUAAACAGAUUUAUUUCAAAUGUCAAGAAAGGAACAAGGUAAUGUGAUAGUGACUCGGCCUGGUGGAGGGAGGGGAGGUGUGACAUUUUAGCUGAUACCUGAAGAAUAUAAAAGAACAGCAAUUUGAAGACUGGGUAUAGAGUGAACCAAGCAUAGAAAAUCAAAAAGACUGAGGCAAGGAAGAGAUUUCUGUGUCAGGGAACAGCAAGGAACACAGUGUAAAUUCAGCAUAGUAAACAAGGGAGAAACUGGUCAGACAUACAGCUGGAGAGUGUGGUAGACAGUGACCCCCAGCAAAUCAUCCCUUCCAAUAGUCAUGUCCUUGGUAUCCUGCAUGCCACACAGCCAGAAAAAAAAAAAAAAGAAAAAGAAAAAGUUUAUUAAGUACUUAGUAUGUACUGGACCUACUUGGAAUUCUGGGAAUACAGCUAUGAACAAAGUAGACAAGAACCCCUUAUACUAUAUUUUGGUAGGUAGAGAAAAAUAGUAAACAAAUUAGAAAAUUCAUAAGCAAGUUUACUUGGUCGUGCGCUUUGCUUUGGCCAGUGGGACAUUAGCAAGCAUGGUAAAAGGAGACUGGAUAAGCACUUGCACACUAGAGCUUGUCCUCUUGGAACACUCUCUCUGGAAGCUAGCCACCAUGCUGAAAAGUGACUUGAGCUAGACUAGUGAGUGAUGAGGGGCCACAUGGAGACACCCUCUGGAGGUUGAGAGUUCACCUUGGACAGUGCAGCGCCACCGAGCUCCUAAAAGAAUGUGGUCACAUUACUGCAGUCGACCCACAAAAUCAUGAGAAACCAUCAAUCACUGUUUUUAGUCAUUGUGGGGGGUGGUUAAUUACAUGGCAAUAGAAAACUGAAACAGAAAGUAGCACCUGGAAGUGGGGUGCUUCUGUAACGGAAACCUAAAGCAGGUGAUUUUGAGGUUGAGCCAUGGAGGAAGGCUGGAAGGGUGGCAAAGGCAGUGAGGAAACUGAAUGCUGGAAAGAUGGUCAUCUGUGUUGUAAAGCUGGGGAACAACUGGUAAAGCUGAUGACUGUGGUAGCAUGUAAGAUAGAAAAUGUAUUGAAUGAACUUGUGGAUCUGUCCAAAGGAAACUUCCAAGUAGAAUGCCAAAGGGGCUAAUCUGCUUCUUUUAGCUGCCUGUCAUAAAAUAUGGGAAGGAAGGAUGAAUGAGAAUUUCAGUUUUCAAGCAGAAAAAGUAAUAAAUGGCCUCAGGAUGCUGCCAGCAAAAUGUGAUCUUAGUCAAGAUCAAGUUGAGGGUGUGGCUGUAAGACCUAUUUUAAGACAUCAGAGCCCAAAAUGCAGAGGGCCUGUUCCCAAGAGAUGUGUGGAUCGGUGUGUGACUCUUGUCUAAUGGAGUAGAUUAUAAUUUACCAUACAGAACAUCCACAACAUUUUAAAAGGAACUGUACACACUUACAGUAAAGGAACAAAGACGGUUGAAAAUGAAAAGAGACCUCUGGGCUCCCACCUUUUCAUGAGCAAGAAGCAGACUGAGAAAUCAGCCUCAAAG